AACACGCUGUAAACGAUGUCGACUUGGAGGUUGUUCCCUUGAGGAGUGGCUUCCGGAGCUAACGCGUUAAGUCGACCGCCUGGGGAGUACGGCCGCAAGGUUAAAACUCAAAUGAAUUGACGGGGGCCCGCACAAGCGGUGGAGCAUGUGGUUUAAUUCGAUGCAACGCGAAGAACCUUACCUACUCUUGACAUCCAGAGAACUUAGCAGAGAUGCUUUGGUGCCUUCGGGAACUCUGAGACAGGUGCUGCAUGGCUGUCGUCAGCUCGUGUUGUGAAAUGUUGGGUUAAGUCCCGCAACGAGCGCAACCCUUAUCCUUUGUUGCCAGCGGUUCGGCCGGGAACUCAAAGGAGACUGCCAGUGAUAAACUGGAGGAAGGUGGGGAUGACGUCAAGUCAUCAUGGCCCUUACGAGUAGGGCUACACACGUGCUACAAUGGCAUAUACAAAGAGAAGCGACCUCGCGAGAGCAAGCGGACCUCAUAAAGUAUGUCGUAGUCCGGAUCGGAGUCUGCAACUCGACUCCGUGAAGUCGGAAUCGCUAGUAAUCGUGGAUCAGAAUGCCACGGUGAAUACGUUCCCGGGCCUUGUACACACCGCCCGUCACACCAUGGGAGUGGGUUGCAAAAGAAGUAGGUAGCUUAAC
This 645-nucleotide ribosomal RNA is filed under the name bacterium YG-58. RNAcentral describes it as "bacterial SSU rRNA". It matches the Rfam family "Bacterial small subunit ribosomal RNA", at positions 794 to 1439 of the family's 1533-position model. The record is from RNAcentral.